RNAcentral lists this ribosomal RNA (468 nucleotides) under uncultured bacterium. Its description in RNAcentral is "partial 16S ribosomal RNA". It matches the Rfam family "Bacterial small subunit ribosomal RNA", at positions 28 to 507 of the family's 1533-position model. The record is from RNAcentral.
GACGAACGCUGGCGGCGUGCUUAACACAUGCAAGUCGAACGGAAAGGCCCUGCUUUUGUGGGGUGCUCGAGUGGCGAACGGGUGAGUAACACGUGAGUAACCUGCCCUUGACUUUGGGAUAACUUCAGGAAACUGGGGCUAAUACCGGAUAGGAGCUCCUGCUGCAUGGUGGGGGUUGGAAAGUUUCGGCGGUUGGGGAUGGACUCGCGGCUUAUCAGCUUGUUGGUGGGGUAGUGGCUUACCAAGGGUUUGACGGGUAGCCGGCCUGAGAGGGUGACCGGCGACAUUGGGACUGAGAUACGGCCCAGUGGGCUACGGGAGGCAGCAGUGGGGAGUAUUGCACAGUGAGCGGGAGCCUGAUGAGGAGACCCCGCGUUCGGGAUGACGGCCUUCGGGUUGUGAACCGCUUUCGCCUGUGACGAAGCGUGAGUGACGGUAAUGGGUAAAGAAGCACCGGCUAACUACGUG